RNAcentral lists this ribosomal RNA (460 nucleotides) under uncultured bacterium. RNAcentral describes it as "partial 16S ribosomal RNA". It matches the Rfam family "Bacterial small subunit ribosomal RNA", at positions 338 to 795 of the family's 1533-position model. The record is from RNAcentral.
CCUACGGGGAGCAGCAGUGAGGAAUAUUGGUCAAUGGACGAGAGUCUGAACCAGCCAAGUAGCGUGAAGGAUGACUGCCCUAUGGGUUGUAAACUUCUUUUAUACAGGAAUCAAACGAUGCACGUGUGCCUUUUUGCAUGUACUUUAUGAAUAAGGAUCGGCUAACUCCGUGCCAGCAGCCGCGGUAAUACGGAGGAUCCGAGCGUUAUCCGGAUUUAUUGGGUUGAAAGGGAGCGUAGAUGGGUUGUUACGGCAGUGGUGAAAGUUUGCGGGUCAACCGUAAAAUUGCAAUGGAUACUGGCAGUCUUGAGUACAGUUGAGGUAGGCGGAAUGCGUGGUGUAGCGGUGAAAUGCUUAGAUAUCACGAAGAACCCCGAUUGCGAAGGCAGCUUACUAAACUGUGACUGACAUUGAUGCUCGAAAGUGUGGGUAUCAAACAGGAUUAGAUACCCGUGUAGUC